AUACUCUUAUUUCAGCAGCACAUAUACUAAAAUUGGAAUGAUACAGGGAAGAUUAGCACGAUUCCUGCACAAAGAUGACACACAAAUUUGUGAAUUGUUCCAUAUUUUG
This is a small nuclear RNA of Loxodonta africana (African savanna elephant), 109 nucleotides long. The record is from Ensembl. NCBI's taxonomy places the organism in Eukaryota, Metazoa, Chordata, Mammalia, Proboscidea, Elephantidae.